Long non-coding RNA from Cryptotermes secundus, 1855 nucleotides. RefSeq lists it as uncharacterized. The record is from RefSeq and is a predicted model, not a curated record. Lineage: Eukaryota; Metazoa; Arthropoda; Insecta; Blattodea; Kalotermitidae. The transcript has 3 exons.
UCUCACUAGCACGGUGGAGGCAAUGUACGUAACUUCUCCCAUAUGUCAGUCGUUAUGUCGGUUACAACUUAUCGACAGUGCAUUUAAAUAUUAUAGUUGUGUGCUUUAGAACUCCUUGUUAAGACAAACAAUAGUGCAACAUGUGAGGAAGUGAAACACAAAAGCGAUUUUUAGCAAAUGGCAGCUUGCAGCAUUCAGGUCAUAAAGUGGUACAGCAUAGCGGCAAAUUAUCUACACAGGAAAUUCAGAUCUAAAUUUCACUAGGAAGCGGAAGUAUUUUUUAAUCAAAAACUUUUUAUAAACAAAAAAUAAAUUAUAUCCUUGCAUAAAGAAAACAUUUGUGGGUACACCAGGAAAUGUUUACUAGGCACUGAAGCAGCCCAUUCAUGAAGCCCAUCUAGUUUAAGGUUAUUUAGAAUGCGAGGAGCUACCCUUCACUCCACACGGCCGUAAGAAUUUCCGGCGAAACAGUUUCCUAGAGCAGUGGUUCUCAACUUUUAUGAGAUCGCGCCCCAGUGACUGGUUGUCAUGACAGAUUUUUUGUUGUUGUCUGUCAGACAGAAAGGUGACUGAACAUUAGAUACAAAGAAUGUGUAAAAGGUGUGGAGAGCAAUAGUGAAGAAGUGGCAUUGGCAACACAUCCUAAUACAAGUAUAUAGACACAAUUGUGGUGAAAUGGAAUAUACAGUGCAUGGUAAUUUGAAUGAAAUUCAACCCACACAUGGGGAGGAGCGCCAAUAUUUCUGUGAUAAGACUUGUGAUUGAUUCAGUCAAGAGCAAAUUCUGAUAGCCCAUCAACACAUACAUAGUGGGGAGCAGCCAUUUUGUUGCAUCAUGUGUAACAAGUCAUUCAGUCAGCAGAGUAAUCUAGAAGCACACCAAGGCAUACAUAGUGAGGAGAAGCCAUUUUGCUGUAAUGUAUAUAAAAAGUUAUUUAGAAACCAGAGUCAUCUGAAUACACAUCAGCACAUAGUGGCAAAAAGCCAUUUUGUUGUGAUGUAUGUAACAAGUGAUUCAGUGAUCGGAGUAGUCUGAAGACACACCAACGCAUACAUAGUGGGGAGAAGCUAUUUUGCUGUGAUAUAUGUAAAAAGUCAUUCAGUGUGCAGAGUAUUCUCAUGACACAUCAAUGCAUGCAUAGUGGGGAGAAGCCAUUUUGCUGUGAUAUAUGUAAAAAAUCAUUCAUUUUGAACAGUGAUCUGAAGAGGCAUAUGCACAUACAUACAUAGGAAGGAGACAUUUUGCUGUGAUGUGUGUAAAAAGUCGUUUAGAAGGCAGAGUCAUCUGAAGACACAUCACCACAUUCAUAGUUCGGAGAAGCCAUUUUUCUCUGAUGUAUGUAAUAAGUCAUUCAGUCAGCAGAGUAAUCUGAAGACACAUUAACGCAUACAUAGUGGGUAGAAGCUAUUUUGUUGCAUCUUGUAUAAUAGGUCAUUCAGCUGGCAGAGUCAACUUAAAUACAUGAAUGCAUACAUAGUGGCAAAUAGCCAUUUUGCUGUGAUGUAUGUAAUAAGUCAUUCAGUGUGCAGAAUAUUCUCAUGACACAUCAACGCAUACAUAGUGGGGAGAAGCCAUUUUGUUGCAUCGUGUGUAAUAAUUCAUUCAGCUGGCAGAGUCAACUUACGACACAUCAAAGCAUACAUAGUGCAGAGAAGCCUUUUUUGUUGGACCGUGUGUAAUAAGCCAUUUAGUCAGCAGAGUCAACUUAAGAUACAUCAAUGCAUACAUAGUGGGGAGAAGCCAUUUUGUUGUGGUGUACGUAAUAAAUCAUUUUGUCAUCAGAGUCAUCUGAAGAGACAUCAGUGCAUACAUAGUUGGGAGAAACUAUUUUGUUGUGAUGUAUGUAAUAAGCAGG